GCAAUAUGUUACACGUUAUUGCUAUAUGAGGAGUCAUUUCUAUCAGAGAUAUAUAACUAAUUAUUAGAUACAUUUGCAGUACUAAAAAAUAGUACUUUUUUAUACACAAUAAAAUAGCUUUUUUCUUAAUUCUACGAAGGUAGAAUUCGUGUUUUCUGAACAAGAACAUAUGGACACCAGGCGCACUUAAUAAUAUCUCGAUAUUUAUAUUCUUCAAGAAUUUCAAUUACCUUUCUCAUGUUUGGUCGAGAAGCUGAAGGUUGAUAUAAACAAUCUGCAGCACAAGAAAUCAUUUUGUGUAAUUCUCUUUCAUCAUAAGCCCCUUGUAAUCUGGAAUCAACAAAAUCUAUAUAUUUCUUAUUCUUCAAAGCUUCUUCAAUCCGAGAUU
This 388-nucleotide unclassified non-coding RNA is filed under the name Hevea brasiliensis (rubber tree). The record is from RNAcentral. Lineage: Eukaryota; Viridiplantae; Streptophyta; Magnoliopsida; Malpighiales; Euphorbiaceae.